This 1293-nucleotide small RNA is filed under the name Pan troglodytes (chimpanzee). Its description in RNAcentral is "processed transcript". Lineage: Eukaryota; Metazoa; Chordata; Mammalia; Primates; Hominidae. The record is from RNAcentral.
GUUGCUACCGGAAUGCCCCUUCAGGUUAGCGAUUACAGCUGGCAGCAGACGAAGACUGCCGUCUUUCUGUCUCUGCCCCUCAAAGGCGUGUGCGUCAGAGACACGGACGUGUUCUGCACGGAAAACUAUCUGAAGGUCAACUUUCCUCCAUUUUUAUUUGAGGCAUUUCUUUAUGCUCCCAUAGACGAUGAGAGCAGCAAAGCAAAGAUUGGGAAUGACACCAUUGUCUUCACCUUGUAUAAAAAAGAAGCGGCCAUGUGGGAGACCCUUUCUGUGACGGGUGUUGACAAAGAGAUGAUGCAAAGAAUUAGAGAAAAAUCUAUUUUACAAGCACAAGAGAGAGCAAAAGAAGCUACAGAAGCAAAAGCUGCAGCAAAGCGGGAAGAUCAAAAAUAUGCACUAAGUGUCAUGAUGAAGAUUGAAGAAGAAGAGAGGAAAAAAAUAGAAGAUAUGAAAGAAAAUGAACGGAUAAAAGCCACUAAAGAAUUGGAAGCCUGGAAAGAAUAUCAAAGAAAAGCUGAGGAGCAAAAAAAAAUUCAGAGAGAAGAGAAAUUAUGUCAAAAAGAAAAGCAAAUUAAAGAAGAAAGAAAAAAAAUAAAAUAUAAGAGUCUUACUAGAAAUUUGGCAUCUAGAAAUCUUGCUCCAAAAGGGAGAAAUUCAGAAAAUAUAUUUACUGAGAAGUUAAAGGAAGACAGUAUUCCUGCUCCUCGCUCUGUUGGCAGUAUUAAAAUCAACUUUACCCCUCGAGUAUUCCCAACAGCUCUUCGUGAAUCACAAGUAGCAGAAGAGGAGGAGUGGCUACACAAACAAGCUGAGGCACGAAGAGCAAUGAAUACUGACAUAGCUGAACUUUGCGAUUUAAAAGAAGAAGAAAAGAACCCAGAAUGGUUGAAGGAUAAAGGAAAACCUGAAAGAUGUCUGAAAAUUCCAGUGACAGUGAUUCAUCUUGUGGUUGGACUGUCAUCAGUCAUGAGGGGUCAGAUAUAGAAAUGUUGAAUUCUGUGACCCCCACUGACAGCUGUGAGCCCGCCCCAGAAUGUUCAUCUUUAGAGCAAGAGGAGCUUCAAGCAUUGCAGAUAGAGCAAGGAGAAAGCAGCCAAAAUGGCACAGUGCUUAUGGAAGAAACUGCUUAUCCAGCUUUGGAGGAAGCCAGCUCAACAGUUGAGGCAGAGGAACAAAAGAUACCCGAAGACAGUAUCUAUAUUGGAACUGCCAGUGAUGAUUCUGAUAUUGUUACCCUUGAGCCACCUAAGUUAGAAGAAAUUGGAAAUCAAGAAGUUGUCAUUGUUGAAG